RNAcentral lists this ribosomal RNA (496 nucleotides) under uncultured bacterium. RNAcentral describes it as "partial 16S ribosomal RNA". It matches the Rfam family "Bacterial small subunit ribosomal RNA", at positions 29 to 507 of the family's 1533-position model. The record is from RNAcentral.
ACGAACGCUGGCGGCGUGCCUAAUACCUGCAAGUUGAGCGCUGAAGGUUGGUACUUGUACCGACUGGAUGAGCAGCGAACGGGUGAGUAACGCGUGGGGAAUCUGCCUUUGAGCGGGGGACAACAUUUGGAAACGAAUGCUAAUACCGCAUAAAAACUUUAAACACAAGUUUUAAGUUUGAAAGAUGCAAUUGCAUCACUCAAAGAUGAUCCCGCGGUGUAUUAGCUAGUUGGUGAGGUAAAGGCUCAACCAGGCGAUGCUACAUAGCCGACCUGAGAGGGUGAUCGGCCACAUUGGGACUGAGACACGGCCCAAACUCCUACGGGAGGCAGCAGUAGGGAAUCUUCGGCAAUAGACGAAAGGCUGACCGAGCAACGCCGCGGGGGUGAAGAAGGUUUUCGGAUCGUAAAACUCUGUUGGUAGAGAAGAAAGUUGGGGAGAGUGGAAAGCUCAUCAAGUGACGGUAACUACCCAGAAAGGGACGGCUAACUACGUG